This 6143-nucleotide long non-coding RNA is filed under the name Gallus gallus (chicken). The record is from RNAcentral. Lineage: Eukaryota; Metazoa; Chordata; Aves; Galliformes; Phasianidae.
UAGAACGUGGGUAUUACACAGUGCUUCAUUUGAUUCCUUUUCUUCCUCUUGCCCUAUUUUUUGUAGCAUAGACCAGAAUGAGUUUCUAAAACAGCAUGUUUGGCCAGUGUGGAUUUCAUGUUAUUUGCACUGUUCAUUGCAGGUCCAUUUGGGUGUCUGGCAGGGGGGUGGGUUAACUCUGCUGAGUGUGAGGCGCACGCUGAGCGGCUCUCCUGCUCCCACUCCCCCGGAGGACUGGGGGACAAAAUACUGCAGAGAAGGUCAUGGGUCAGGAUAGGGGCAGGGGGAGCACACAGCAGUUCUUGUGGCCAAAACAACUUCACCUUGAGGAAGAUUAAUUUGUUAUCGCUUAAUAAUAAGGUAGGAUAGUGAGAACUAAAUACUGUAACUGCCAUAAAUUUAUCCUCAGGCAGUAUCAAGGGUUUCUAGCUUUGUCAUGAGAUGGGCGAAACCAAAUCUGCACUGCACUUGUGGCUGACAUUAGGAUGGGGCAGAGAAAGGCCCUGCAUUUUCUAUCUUUACUAUUGGUUUUCACUGCUGCUGAUCUGUUUUCUGAAAAUGAUCUGAAAGUAACUGGGAUUCAAUUCAAAUAGUCUGCAUAUACACUUUUAUUCUAUGCAUAUUAAUCACUGUAGAGAGAAGCUUUCACUGUAAUGUUAAACAUUGGAUUUUUUCCUCAGUUUAUAACCUCAGUUUAGUACACCCCCACCAGUUUUGCAGAGCAGCUGUGUUGCUGACCAUCCCUGUGCUGCCAGAUAAGUGCAGGCAUGGUACAGAGCACAGCCUUUUGGGCACCACUCAGCCUCUUCGGUUAUGGGGAGGCUUCAGGGUCAGUGUGCGCUAUUUAACAGGAUGUGCAACACCCCCAUUCAGGACUAUGACAACAGAAAGUAUAAUAAGCUAAUUCAGGCUUGAAGUAAGGGUGCUUAAUAGGACAACAGUGAGAGGGAAAUAUAAACAAGAACGAAUAGCAGAGAAAAGAAUGAACUAUUAUUCCAGAACUGUGUGCAGUAAGCUUUUCUACUCGUAGCCGUCUGACAAGAGUAAGCACAUCAAUGAUUGGUUAUUUUUUUCUUUAAGGAAAUAGGUGGAUAACUGCUGCUGACAAAGCUAACAGGAGUGAGGUGAAGCAGCAUUUAAGACACAACUGUUUUCUGUCAAAGUGAGAUACUGGCAUACAGCAGUGAGGAAUCUCAUCCCAAGGUAGGAGACACUCGUAGCUCAGGAACUGGUUAUCGGUGACCACCUGCCAGGUACUGACCUGGCUUCUGGAGUACAGCUCCAGUUCCUAUAAAUACAAAAAAGACAACAUUCAAAGCAAAACAUGCACACAGAAGUGCUGAUGUCACAAUGAUGGAAAUGGAAAACUUUAACAGGGAGGCAAGCAACAGGAAUAGGGUACAGAUUUAAAUAACCUUACCUCUGCAGUGAAAACAAGGUAGCUCUCUGUGGAAUGACAGUAAGAGCAAGCACGUGAGAGCCACUGCGGGACUGAUAACAUGUAAGUGUACAGCACGGCCACGGAAAGAAGUGUUGUCCUUCCUGUGUAAUUACAGGAAAGGAGAGAAGGAAAUAACACCCAAACCAGUUCACUACAAAAUGGUUCCCAGCAUCUGACUCCUAGAUCACAUAGCUUUAUGACAGCAGCUAGAAAUCGAAGUAAGCCUGUUCCAUUUUACAGCCUUACUAAUGCAAAUUAUUUUAUAUAUUGGCUUCACUUACCAGAAUUCACACAUUAAAAUGCUUUGAUAUUUAAAUAAGGAUGCUCUUUCUUUGUUGGCAUUUGGAAGCAAUUUGCUUGCUUUAGUACACAGAGGGGAAAAAAGGUCCUGAAUUCACAUAAUAAUUGAAAUAAUAGCUGUUGUUUUUUUAAUCAGUUCAUACAAUUAAGACCCAUUUAGACUGAUAAAGAGUGCAAUUUAUUUAGAUUUGUUUUUAUUGACAGUCUAAAGAGACUCAAAUCUAAAGAGAAAAAUCUCAAAAUACAAAAGUACAAUUAAAAAAAUAUAGUAAGCAGCAGCAAGAACAUUAAUUUACAUUGGAAGGUUGGGGUUUUUUCAUGCAUUCUGGUUUUGAGCUAUACUGUGCUCAGCAAUGCCAAGUUCAGUCAGUCCUUUCACUGCAAUAACUUUGGGGUUUGUUGCCACACUCUUCGUGGUGUUGUGAGUCUUGUAUAUCCCGAUCAGUCUGUCUGCAAUCUCAAACAUGUUGUUCCGCAGGGAGAUGAUGAUGAACUGCGCGUUUUUUGUUUGCUCCUGAAACAGAGGGUGUUUGUGUGAGCUCACGGGAUUUCAGAAAGCUGCGUUCUUGCAUGGUCUCUACAUCCAGGUUUAAGAACUGCUGACACAUCACUGUAAAUAUUCAGUGCAUAAUGUAAUCCAACAGCUCUGCAGGUGCUGAUCUCUCAUAACUUGUCUGGUUUUGGCUAAGUCCUGCCUUAGCUUUCAGCACAAAGCAUUUCAAUUGACUUAAGCAUCAGCUUUCCCCCCCUUUCUUUUCCUUUUACAUGACCUGUUCAAGUGAAUUGAAUUAAAUAAAAGCAUACAUAAAUUUCUGCAGAAUUUCAGUGUGCCACAGUUUUAAUGUGAAUUCCACUAGGUUUACUGAAGGCUUCCUGACUUACCUGAAUUGUUCCAACGAGGGCUCCUUUAGGAAUGAAAAGGAAAACAAACCUAUCUCCACACAGCGAGAACUUUGUUAAAGGGGACAAGCCCUGAAGAAGAGCAGUUCUGUGAUCCCGAGGCACAAUGACAGUAAAUAACAAAACAUCUACAUUGGGUGAUGCUUUCAAAAUGAAAUCACCUUCUUUCCCUUAAUAACUCAGGAGCAACAGUGUAAGUUCACGUGUGAAAAUACAAGUACUGCGGAAGCAAAGUUUAGAGUGCUUCUCUAGCUUGAAGUAGUUAAUCUUUGGCACUUCCAGCCUGUUCCCAAAAUGGGUGGAUAUACUCAGAAUAAUUCUGAAAAUUUUAAGUGUAAAUUAGCAGCAGGAACUGCAACAAUGUAAAUGCUUGCUUGGCUUAAAUAUGGUGAUGCUAGAAUUAUUAGUGCUUUUUCUUUCAGGCUUUCAAAAAAGACAGACCAAAUAAACCUGCCUAUUGAAGCUUGAGAGAAUGGAAGGCAAGUAAAAACCCCGGGACGUUGGCUGCACCUCAGAAUGAAGUCAUGAGCCUGGAUAUGUGAACGCCCUACCAAGAGCAUCUCAGCUGACUAGGGCUGAUUAGUUUAACUGAAAGUAUAUUUUAAAGAGCAAGGAGUUGCAGCAAGGCUGUGCUGAACUACAGCACUGUUGGCAAACUCUUUGCUCUUUAGACAGCUUUCAAAAUGUGCAGUGAGGACGUAGGGAAUAAUUAUAGAUCCUCUAUUAGCAAUCCAACUUCAAGAAAGCAGCAGUUUAGAACAAAAUAUGCAGAAUGCUACAUUCUGAGCACCGUUCUGCAAGUCUGCUUAGCACACAGUUAUUUGAAAACACUGCAUCUUACGAAGACACUGAAUCUGGCUGUAAUUUUGUUACCACUUUCCCAUUUUCUGGCUGAGAAGGAAAAAAAGUCCCUCCGCAAUAGUUACCAGUACUUACAUAUAUGUAAAAUGCUACAAUGGAUACAUUUUUGAAGUCAAGUGCUGCAUCAAUCUCAUCCAUAAAAUACAGUGGUGUUGGCUUGUAAUGAUGAAGUGCAAAAACUAAAGCCAGUGAACUAAGAGUCUUCUCUCCUCCUGAUAAGUUAAAUAUCUUCUUCCAGCUUUUCUUUGGAGGCCGAACACUGAACAUGAUUCCCUCAGAGAAGGGAUCCAAACUGUCUACAAGUUCUAAUUCAGCAUCUCCUCCCAAAGUAAGCAUCUGGUAGUUCUCCUUCAGUUUAUUUGUUAUUACAUUAAAUCCCGCCAUAAAUUCAUUGAGCCUCUGCUUCCUGAGAUCUUCAAAAGCUUGUCUAAAUCUGUCUCUCUCGUUGGUAAUGUCAUCCAAUUCAGCCACACGUUUUAAGUAUAGCUCUUCCUGUAAAAAACAAUGAGACACCACAAAACCAAAGUGCAGUUAAAGAAACUGCCUCUACUUUAGAUUUUAUGCCACUCUUCUUUCUACCAUUUCAAAACUUAUUUUUCCCAGAAUGACCAACAGCCCUGAAACAAAAAAGAAUUGAGAACAAACCCUCCCUCCUUUCACUGUUCACUUCUGACGUGGACUCCCUCAGUCAUUUAAUUAACUUGAAACUGUAAUUAAACAAUGUCUAUUUUAGUAGCUCUGUGCUUCAGGUAAUCUUACAGCUCUGCCCAUAAGAGCUGUGGGUAUUUGGUGCAGAGUAUCUCUCAAACACUCUGGAGAGAAGCAGCUCCCAUCUGCAUUUAAUCAACCUGUCUCAACAGCUACAAAUGGUUCUGCUUGAUACCAUCUAAUAGCACAGAUAGUCAUUGUCUGUCUUUACAUGUCAGCAGUCUGCGUGUAAAGGUUUUUCCUUCUUCCCCUGGGAUGAGGCAAUGCUAGGCAAGAAAACCUGAAUAAAUCCUUAAAAAGCUACAUGUGUUUUGGACAAGACAAAGCCAUACUGUUGUGCUGACACGCAGUGCAAUAUCAAAGCAAUGAAUUCUACUGCUACAUGGCAGUAGCAAAGCUUUACCUUCCUCCUAUAUUCUGCAAUAGCACCAAGGUUGGGUUUCAUUUCAUGGCACUGUGCUUCCAAGAGAGCUAUUUGAUUAGUGAUAAUGUCCGGAUCCUUGAUAGCCUCAAGCUCUUCUUGACUGAGCACUGGGAGUUCUUCGGGUGGCUUAUCUUCUAUGGGAUGCAAUGAUAAUUUUGAUAUCUAAAAACCAAAACCAGUUACUAGAAAUCUAAAGAUGACAUUCGUUAUCACAUGAACAUGUUUCCAAAAUAAACAUCUUUGGUAUUAGUAGAUACUGAGCCUUCCAAGCAUUCAAAACUUCUUCACUUAAUUCUCUUUAAAAUUGAGAUGCAUGCACAACAACAAACGCUAUAUCCUGUGGUUUUGCUCCUGAAAAUUUAUUCUUAGGAAUGGGAUAUUUCUGUACAUGGAGCAGUAGCAGGUAAUGUGGGUAUCAUCUCUACUUUCUGUAUCCUUAAAGUUUGUUUUAGAACUUCAAUAACUGUAUUUAAUACCUUGUAUCUGCAAGAUUGAAAAGCUUCUGAAUACCUUUUCUGAGCAGCUGCCCCAGUUGUUCUCAAAGGAGCAAGGAUGUAAAGGGCACUGCGUGAUCAUCUGCUGGUCUACAUCUUAUCUGGCCUUUUUUCCUGAACGUCUCCCCGCGCACACACCACGUUUUUGCACUUUGCACAGAUCAUGAAAAACAAAGCAAAGCCAACCCCCGCCAUAGCCUCUUACUGACUCUGUGCACUCAGAAAGUCUAUGAGCCAAAGAAGUCAGCUUUCGGUGCAGAACUGCUUCCAGAAGAAUUAAACACCACUCCCAGAAGCUGAUCGAAAACACUUUUGAUGUAAUUUGCUUUGUUUUAAAGAACAGCUUAGUGGAUACAGCACUGCAUGUUUUCCAUUUCCUACUCCUCUUUGCUUCUUUCACCAUUGUAAGAAGGGUUUUGUGUUUUUUUUCCCCCCAGUAUCUACUGAGAACACCCAGGCACAGAAAGUCUCUUAGUUGGUAUUUAUUGCCCACUAUUUUUUCCUCGUUGCUUUUCAUUGCUCCUAAAUAGCACCACGUCAGUUACAGUUACCCCACCAUUCUUUCAUAGAUAAAGAACUUGGAAAGUCAGAAGCUAAAUCAUUUCAUUCAUGUCAUCUUUUUUUAGAGCAGGUUUCCAUAGGAUAAACAAUAAUGAGCUAUAAAUAAUGAGCUGAAUAUCAAUUUUUGCCUAAAAUAAGUUUUCUACUGUGUUAACCUAUUAAUCUUUUGGGGAUAUUGUAAUUCAACGUCUAUGAACUGAAACGCUUGCUUACCUCCUUUUGCCAGUAUUUAAUCUUCGACUGAUGUGUAGAAAUAUGACUAUCAAUCUGUUCAAUUUUAAACUUGAUAUUAAGAGCUUCCUUUCGUAGUUCGUGUUCAUCAUCCUGAAUAGCUCUCAUCUCCUGCAGCAAAUUGCGGUGCUCCUCCUGAACGGCCGGCAGCGCUUCCUGCAGGAGUGACACACAGAGUGCAUUCCUCAGCUGCCUGGGAAGUGUUACCCAUUCCUCACUUUAU